CAAAUGCAAAUGCGAAUCUUCAAUCUCCUCCUUGUCUUUGUUUUUGCUCUUUUUAUGAUUGCUAUCGUCCACAGAAUGAGAAAUGGACGUCGAUGAGAAUGAGUUUUUGGAUUUUGGCCUGUAUUUCCUUUCCCAAGAGGGUAAUGUUAGUACGGGCGACCCAGGAGAAGAAGAAGAAGCGAUCACGAGCUCCUCAUCAGCGAAUCUCCGAAUUGCCUCGCCAACAUCCCUCAGCGACUGAAAAUACAAGACGUGGGCAGCGGCAAGGGCGUAGCGGUGGUCAGAUGCUGCCUUGAUAAGUUCUUUUCGCUCUCUGCAACGAGUUACUAGCGGCAAAUCAUCGACUUUGGAUCCUCCACAGCCCAUAUCA
RNAcentral lists this unclassified non-coding RNA (370 nucleotides) under Hevea brasiliensis (rubber tree). Lineage: Eukaryota; Viridiplantae; Streptophyta; Magnoliopsida; Malpighiales; Euphorbiaceae. The record is from RNAcentral.